This 827-nucleotide long non-coding RNA is filed under the name Sus scrofa (pig). RNAcentral describes it as "lncRNA (ENSSSCG00045019444.1)". Lineage: Eukaryota; Metazoa; Chordata; Mammalia; Artiodactyla; Suidae. The record is from RNAcentral.
AUGGACAUGCAGGUUUUAAGAAUCAGGCUGGUGUGGCAGUUGGCUUCUGGAGAGCUGGGCAUGAUUAUAUUCAUGACUGUGGAGUGUCAGUGCAGUGGUAUUUGGGGGGGCAGACUGAGCCUGUCCCUAUGCUCCUUCUCUCCAGAGAUCUUCAUAUUGUCUUCCUCCCGUGCUGGACACGUGUGCCAAGGAACCUACCUAAAUCCAGAUCUAUGUCCUCCUCCUCUCUGCUCCACCUCAGCCUCUUCCUCCCUGCUGGACACCUGUGCCAAGGAACCUACUAAAUCCAGUGAUCUCUGCAUCCUCCUCCUCCCUGUUGGACACCUGUGCCAAGGAACCUACCUAAAUCCAGAGUCCUCUGCAUCCUCCUCCUCCUUUCUCACCCCGAGCAUCUUCCUUGUCUGCUGGACACCUGUGCCAAGGAACCUACCUCAAUCCAGAAUCCAGAGGCUGUCUGAGCUCAUGACAGCCUGCCCCAUUGUCUGGACUUUGGGCUACACAAGCUGCCUGAAAGUGACCCCCAGGUGUGAAGGCAGAAAAGUGUCCUUUCUGUCAGGUGAGAUCAUUUAGAUUGCAGAGUCAGAGGUGACCCAUAAACUAGCCCUCCUCACAAGGCACAUCCUGGGAAAUCUAUCACCAUCACCACCCCCACUUCCACCCCUCUGCCCAACCAAUUCAAACCCCAUGUCUGGGCUGGGAAGUGCCAAUCCCAAGCAGCUGCUGGGCUCUGCUGCUGCUCUGGCGCCCUCUCAUGGCCACUCUCUCCAAAAACAACUCGGAGCCCUUCCCCCUGCCUCCUGACCAAACCCAUGCCUGGACUGCCCUCC